GACGAACGCUGGCGGCGUGCUUAACACAUGCAAGUCGAACGGAAAGGCCCUUCGGGGUCCUCGCGUGGCGAACGGGUGAGUGAGACGUGGGUGAGCUGCUCUGCACUUUGUGAUAAGCCUGGGAAACUGGGUCUAAUACCGAAUAGGACCGCGAGCUUUUUGGUGGGUGGGGUCAAGCUUUUGCGGCGUGUGAUGGGCCCGCGGCCUAUCGGCUUGUUGGUGGGGUAAUGGCUUGCCAAGGCGAAGACUGGUAGCCCGCCGGUGAGGGUGACCGGGCACACUGCGACUACGAGACGGCGCAGACGCCUACGGGAGGCAGCAGUGGGGAACAUGGCACAACGGGGGCAAGCGUGAUGCAGCGACGUCGCGUGAGUGAUGACGGCUUUCGGGUUGUAAACAUCUUUCUCCAGGGACGAAGCGCAAGUGACGGUACCUGGAGAAGAAGCACCGGCCAACUACGUG
RNAcentral lists this ribosomal RNA (462 nucleotides) under uncultured bacterium. RNAcentral's name for it is "partial 16S ribosomal RNA". It matches the Rfam family "Bacterial small subunit ribosomal RNA", at positions 28 to 507 of the family's 1533-position model. The record is from RNAcentral.